RNAcentral lists this long non-coding RNA (219 nucleotides) under Elaeis guineensis (African oil palm). RNAcentral describes it as "long non-coding RNA (EGUI_LNC032745)". Lineage: Eukaryota; Viridiplantae; Streptophyta; Magnoliopsida; Arecales; Arecaceae. The record is from RNAcentral.
GGAUAUGUGGUCUAUAUUUUCUUUCCUAUUUUGCUCAUUUUUAGUAUAAAUAUCUUGUGAAAUAUAUCUACAUUACUUAUUUAAUUAUUUGCCGUCAUUAAAUUUUUUUCCAUCAUAUAGAACUAUUUAAUUUUUGCCAAAAUGAUGAAGACAUUAUAUUUUGGGAGUGCAUGUAUUAAAUAUACAUACGUGGGCAUCGCAACCUAGAAUGACUGCAUU